This 254-nucleotide ribosomal RNA is filed under the name uncultured bacterium. RNAcentral's name for it is "partial 16S ribosomal RNA". It matches the Rfam family "Bacterial small subunit ribosomal RNA", at positions 524 to 776 of the family's 1533-position model. The record is from RNAcentral.
UACGUAGGGUGCAAGCGUUGUCCGGAAUUAUUGGGCGUAAAGAGCUCGUAGGCGGUUUGUUGCGUCGGCUGUGAAAUCCCGAGGCUCAACCUCGGGUCUGCAGUCGAUACGAGCAAACUAGAGUGUUGCAGGGGAGACUGGAAUUCCUGGUGUAGCGGUGGAAUGCGCAGAUAUCAGGAGGAACACCGAUGGCGAAGGCAGGUCACUGGGCCGCAACUGACGCUGAGGAGCGAAAGCAUGGGGGAGCGAACAGG